Molecule: ribosomal RNA, 462 nt
Filed under: uncultured bacterium
Lineage: Bacteria
Description: partial 16S ribosomal RNA
Rfam family: Bacterial small subunit ribosomal RNA
Source: RNAcentral
GAUGAACGCUGGCGGCGUGCCUAAAACAUGCAAGUCGAGCGGCAGCACGGUCUUCGGACUGGUGGCGAGCGGCGGACGGCUGAGUAACACGUAGGAACAUACCCCGAAGUGAGGGAUAACUGCUCGAAAGAGUAGCUAAUACCGCAUGUGAUCUAAGGAUUAAAGCUUUAUGCGCUUUGGGAAUGGCCUGCGUCUGAUUAGUUUGUUGGUGAGGUAAUGGCUCACCAAGACUACGAUCAGUAGCUGGUCUGAGAGGAUGAUCAGCCAGACUGGGACUGAGACACGGCCCAGAGUCCUACGGGAGGCAGCAGUUAGGAAUUUUCCACAAUGGGCGAAAGCCUGAUGGAGCAACGCCGCGUGCAGGAUGAAUGCCUUCGGGUUGUAAACUGCUUUUAUAUGUGACGAAUAUGACGGUAGCAUAUGAAUAAGGAUCGGCUAACUCCGUGCCAGCCGCCGCAGUAA